UAGCAUAUCAAUAAGCGGAGGAAAAGAAACUAACAAGGAUUCCCCUAGUAGCGGCGAGCGAAGCGGGAAAAGCUCAAAUUUGUAAUCUGGCGUCUUCGACGUCCGAGUUGUAAUCUCGAGAAGUGUUUUCCGUGAUAGACCGCAUACAAGUCUCUUGGAACAGAGCGUCAUAGUGGUGAGAACCCAGUACACGAUGCGGAUGCCUAUUACUUUGUGAUACACUUUCGAAGAGUCGAGUUGUUUGGGAAUGCAGCUCAAAUUGGGUGGUAAAUUCCAUCUAAAGCUAAAUAUUGGCGAGAGACCGAUAGCGAACAAGUACCGUGAGGGAAAGAUGAAAAGCACUUUGGAAAGAGAGUUAACAGUACGUGAAAUUGUUGGAAGGGAAACACAUGCAGUGAUACUUGCUAUUCGGGGCAACUCGAUUGGCAGGCCCGCAUCAGUUUUUCGGGGCGGAAAAGCGUAGAGAGAAGGUAGCAAUUUCGGUUGUGUUAUAGCUCUUUACUGGAUUCGCCCUGGGGGACUGAGGAACGCAGCGUGCUUUUAGCAAUUCCUUCGGGAAUUCCACGCUUAGGAUGCGGGUUUAUGGCUGUAUAUGACCCGUCUUGAAACACGGACCAAGGAGUCUAACAUGCUUGCGAGUAUUUGGGUGUCAAACCCGGAUGCGCAAUGAAAGUGAAUGGAGGUGGGAAGCGCAAGCUGCACCAUCGACCGAUCUGGAUUUUUUAAGAUGGAUUUGAGUAAGAGCAAGUAUGUUGGGACCCGAAAGAUGGUGAACUAUGCCUGAAUAGGGCGAAGCCAGAGGAAACUCUGGUGGAGGCUCGUAGCGGUUCUGACGUGCAAAUCGAUCGUCAAAUUUGGGUAUAGGGGCGAAAGACUAAUCGAACCAUCUAGUAGCUGGUUCCUGCG
RNAcentral lists this ribosomal RNA (906 nucleotides) under Sporobolomyces roseus. RNAcentral's name for it is "partial large subunit ribosomal RNA". It matches the Rfam family "Eukaryotic large subunit ribosomal RNA", at positions 36 to 962 of the family's 3401-position model. The record is from RNAcentral. Lineage: Eukaryota; Fungi; Basidiomycota; Microbotryomycetes; Sporidiobolales; Sporidiobolaceae.